CGUAGGGUGCAAGCGUUAAUCGGAAUUACUGGGCGUAAAGCGUGCGCAGGCGGUUAUGCAAGACAGAGGUGAAAUCCCCGGGCUCAACCUGGGAACUGCCUUUGUGACUGCAUAGCUAGAGUACGGUAGAGGGGGAUGGAAUUCCGCGUGUAGCAGUGAAAUGCGUAGAUAUGCAGAGGAACACCGAUGGCGAAGGCAAUCCCCUGGACCUGUACUGACGCUCAUGCACGAAAGCGUGGGGAGCAAACAGGAUUAGAUACCCUGGUAGUCCACGCCCUAAACGAUGUCAACUGGUUGUUGGGAGGGUUUCUUCUCAGUAACGUAGCUAACGCGUGAAGUUGACCGCCUGGGGAGUACGGCCGCAAGGUUG
This 370-nucleotide ribosomal RNA is filed under the name uncultured organism. Its description in RNAcentral is "bacterial SSU rRNA". It matches the Rfam family "Bacterial small subunit ribosomal RNA", at positions 526 to 896 of the family's 1533-position model. The record is from RNAcentral.